Molecule: non-coding RNA, 724 nt
Organism: Oryza sativa Japonica Group (Japanese rice)
Lineage: Eukaryota; Viridiplantae; Streptophyta; Magnoliopsida; Poales; Poaceae
Source: RefSeq, a predicted model, not a curated record
GAUGGAUAUGAAAUGAGAAGCAAAAUUGUGUCUGAAGAAAUGAGAAGCAAGAAGACAGUUAAAGGUUCUGUUACAAUUCGAUCUCAAGUAACAGUGGAUACAUAAUCAGAGAGAUCUGAAAGAGAUAACAUUAAUUUCGUCUGAUGAAAAAAGAAGCAAGAAGACAACUAAAGGGUCUGAUGGGUUACAGUCUGAAAAAUCAGGGGAUAUGCAAUCGGAGAGAUAUGAAAGUGACAAAAUUUUGUCCAGAGAAAUAAGAAGCAAGAAAACAUUGAAAGGUCAGUUAUCAUGCUCACCUAGCAUUAUGCACCAUAAAAUGAUCUUGGCAGACAAUAUAAUCUAGCAUAAAAUUAUAUACAACAAAUUAGAGAUUGUAGCGUUGAUAAAUUUUCAAGGACUAUAUAUCUAUAGUUAGUUACAGUGAGAAAUAACAAAAGUUACAUAUGUAACUACAAUACAUAUAGACUGUAACUGGGCUAAAACUGCAAGCAUGCUUGAAUUUCUUCAAAAAAUAAAGAAUUUCUUCAGAAAAGGAGUCACUUUGUCACAAUGGACUGAAGAUUUUCCUCAAGUGAAAAUCAUCUUCAGACAGUGGUGUUUAACAAAGCACAACAAUUAGAUUAGAGCCUAGGAUAAAAAAAACAGAGCAUUGUGGUCCAAACGGUCAUAUCUCCAGUUGUGUACAAAUUUGCCCAUAUAUUAAAUUUUGUACAUAAUUUGCACA